Molecule: long non-coding RNA, 792 nt
Organism: Juglans microcarpa x Juglans regia
Lineage: Eukaryota; Viridiplantae; Streptophyta; Magnoliopsida; Fagales; Juglandaceae
Exons: 2
Source: RefSeq, a predicted model, not a curated record
GGAAGAAAUUUUCGAAUCAACCAUACGGUGCGUUUCGUUUUUGUAUGUAUCUCCUCCUCGUGUUUUCCAAGUCCUCCCCCAUCUGAAGACUGAAACCAUCCCUAACCCUAAACCCUCCCUAACCCGUUGCAAUCCCUCCCCCAUCUGAAAUGAUGCCUAACCCUAACGUUCCUUUUCCAUUUACCCGUAGCUUUCCCUCGUUCCAGGAUCUGCCUUGAUAUUCCCCGUCGCAUUCCGGACCCCACAAGUCACAACACCUGAGUGCCAUUUUGUUCUUCUUCUUGUUCUACUUCUUUAAUCUUUGAACACGCCCUAAAACCUUCACUAGAAACCCUUUUAAUUAGUGCUUGAAAUGGACAUGCAGAGGCGUGUGGUCAAUUCAACAUUAUCGAGAAUAUAUUUACUCAAUUCAAAAUGAAAAUCGAGAUGAGUUCUCUUGAAUCCUCUUACCUAUUAGUUCAUAAUGCUUCUUUGAAAUUUUGUCAUAAAUGUUGACUCUUCUGCGGGUUAGAUAGUUACUAGUUGGAGAUGGAAUCUGGAUAGCUCGCCAUAAAUAUGUUGACAGUGAAUAUGUACUUGAUUAUAUUGUUGAAAGGAAGAAUGUUGAUGAUUUACGCUGUUCCAACAGGGAUAAUCGAUAUUGGGACCAAAAACUGAGGCUUUUGAGGUAUGGACUUAAGAGGCUGAUAUAUCUUGUGGAGGGUGACCCAAAUUCUUUCGAAGUUGCCGAAAGCAUCAAAACAACGCAAGUGAUUUUUUGAAAGUAUUUAUAAGAUCCAGAUUUUUUUAAAC